AAAAAGCCUUGUGCACACAAGCUAGCAAAACAUUUGUUUCCAGACCUUACUAAUUUUGUAAUUCACACUGAAGCCAACACCCUUCCCUGACAGUGAUUGGGUUUCUAAUUAAGGAUUUAAGUCUGAACACAUGCUCUUAACUCCUAGUUUAAGACUACACCGUGUGCUGUAGCUAGGUUAUAUAUUUCCCCCAGACAGGGUUAGCAGUAAGAGUUGGUUGCAGUUGUUUCCCUGUGUUAGAAAGCAAAACUGAGAGCUCCAGAAGAAUCAUGUUUUCAGCAUGGUUUCCAAACAUCAGCCUAUUACUUCCCGCAUGGUUGGCUGGGUUAAACUGUGCUGCUUCAGGAAGAAGAAAAUGGCUGUGACAGAACUGAAGGUGCAUCAGAGAGGAGACAAGCCAGACAGCCCUGGCCUGAGCUCUCCUAGCUGGCUGGGAACAAGUGGAAUUGGAACCAUGGACUAAGAGCAUCCAGGAAUGAAUCGGGUCAAUCUUCCCAAAGCAUUGGCAGUGGUGUCUUGUACUCAGAAACUGCCUAGCUUCAUUAUUUAUUCAGUCGAGCUUUGCUGUUUCUGUUAGAUUGUAUGACAGAUAUGACAGCAGCAUGAAAGGUACUGACCUGAGGACAUUCUUUUCUUGUUUUUAGAGAUCGUAGACAACCAGUCACGUAAAGGAAAAUAUACCCUGAUUUUAGGGAUCUCUCUAUAAAUCAAAGAGAAUUUAAAAUAUUGAAUGCUCAUUACAACAUUCAAAAUUAUUGAUCCAUAAACUGUAAAUAUAUAUGCUACUAUUUAUUUGCUUAUUACCUUUCAAAUAUGUUCAAAACACUUUCAUUUUUUUGUGAAGAUUCACGAGUUCAAUUAUGCAUGAAUUUAAGCAGGUGGAUAUUCAUGCUUAAGGUGCCAGCUGAAAAUUUUAUUUUUCUUCACCUUUAUCAAUUAACUCUUUUCUGUUGUCCUAUGGUUACUAUUUAAUAAACUUAUAGAUCUACUGUCA
Anser brachyrhynchus (Pink-footed goose) is the source of this 994-nucleotide long non-coding RNA. The record is from Ensembl. Lineage: Eukaryota; Metazoa; Chordata; Aves; Anseriformes; Anatidae.